Molecule: long non-coding RNA, 25640 nt
Filed under: Hordeum vulgare
Lineage: Eukaryota; Viridiplantae; Streptophyta; Magnoliopsida; Poales; Poaceae
Description: long non-coding RNA (HVUL_LNC002846)
Source: RNAcentral
GGCGAGGCAGACGGUGCCGUUGCGGGCGGUGAGGCUGUAGUCCUCGCCGGCCUUGCAGAAGACGCGCACGGCGUNUUGCACCACUCCCAGAGCACGACGGUGGUGCCGUCGUGCACGCCGCCGUGGUCCUUGUCGCCGUUGAGGGCGUCAAAGCCGAGGCGGGGGUUGNGUUGACCAUGCGGAUGCAGCGGAAGCCCUUGCCCACGUCCUUGCUCUCCGUCCACAGCACCGACGCGUCCUCGUACGCCGGGUUGAACGGCACCAGCUUCACCUGCGAUCCGUCCACGCGCAUGUCAAGAACUCAAGAUCGACGGAUCGAUGGAUCGAAAAGAAGGGCGUGAUGAUCGAUCGAAAAGAAGGACUUACGGGGUGGGACUGGCCGAUGGAGUGCUUGACGGCGAGGCCGGUGGCCUUGUUGACGAGCGCGAAGGCCGGCAUGCCCUCCUCGUCCUUGACGGUGGUGCUGAAGCGCAUGUCCUUGAGCCAGUGCUGGGUCUCGUCCUUGGGGUUGACGGGGGCGAGCACGACCUCGCCGUCGCGGACGGCGAGGCAGUAGUCCUCGGAGGCCCGGCAGUAGAUCUUGAAGAUCUGGUUGGGGCCGGACGCCGCCGGCGCCUGGUCCUUGUGGUGGUGCCCGAACCCGAACAUCUUGGCGGCGAGGAGAGCGUGUCUGAUCGGCUAGACUGGUUGGAGCUGUGCGAGUGAGGAGAGAGCGCUGCCCGAUGGCGCCAUUAUAUAGAGCCGAGAGCAGAGCAGAGCAGACCAGAGUCACCACUCACGCGCUGUAGAUAGUAAAAUCUUGAAAAUCUUUGGACCAUAUCUCCAGCGGCCUGGAAUAAAUGGCGGAAAGUAAUUGUAGGAUACGCUCGCUCGAUCGCUGCCAGUACAGUACAGUACAUCACAGCACUAGCCGUUUGGCCAAGAUUUUGGUUGCAUUAGCAAGAUUUUGGUCCGAUUAACAGCAGUGGCCGGUUGAUGCCAGUACCAAGUUUUGGUUCGAUUCAGCACUCAACAUUAGCUGUAUCCAUGCAAAUAUGCAAUGGCCAAAAAUGCCAGCAGCAUACCAUAUAAUUUUUUCUGUGUAUUACUAGUAGUUGAUCAUCCUUAGAGGCUAAGUAUCCUACUGUACUAAUUAAAGACUACAUAUUUGACUCUGCUCUUGGAUUUAUCUUGGUCCUGCAGCAGUAGCACUCCAGCAUCAGGCUUCGGCUCACACUUGGCAUUGCCUUGCAACAUACUAGCCGUUUGGUGUGAAUGUACUGGAAGGUUCUGGUUCGAUUCACCUACCCCCAGUGUUUUCCUCGGCAUUAACUUUGCAUUAGCUGUAUGCAUGCAAAUACGCAAUGCCAGCACGCCGGCGGUGUGAAUUGGAUUAUGGAGUACGGUUAGUGUUCUUGUAUUUUGUAGUCCAUCCAUUGACUCAUCCUAGCAGUGUUCUCUUCUAGCAAACUCAUCCUUAGAGGUUAAGCAUCUCUAUAAGUAAAGACUAGAUAUUUUACAGUUUUUUGAAUUAUUUUGUCCAUUUAUUUACUAACUAUUUGUAGUGUUUAAGGUGCUACCGUCUAAGGCUGCCUUGCCUUCUCGGUUGUCGUCGGCCCAAGUAGGCCGCCCUGAGGCCCUUUGGAUCGGUUCCGCAAUGGGCCAUCGGUUCGGUCCAUGGGCCUUUCCUCCACCGAUGUAGCCGACUAGGUUGUGUAACUCGUGGGGUCCGGAUGUUAUAUAAGUCGGGGUUGAGCUAGUCGAUAGGUCAUUAUAUAAUCAUGCCGUUUAUACCUUUAUACAUGCAAUCAUAGUAUGCACAUAGUAGGAAUAGAGUUCUACCUCUUUCAGAGGGGCCGAACCUAAGUAAAUCGCCUCAUGUUUUCCCUCUGCCCCAAUCGUCAUGUCCGGAUACCCUAUUGAGGGAUCUGUCGGAUUUAGCUCUCACAGUCUUUGUUCUUGAAAGAACAAAUGCCAUAUAUAAUAAGUUUUACAGAUGCUUACAAGAUUACCAUUACAAAAACCGGAAGAUACAUCAAAAUUCCUGGGGUGCCAAAAUACUACUUCUCCUGCAUCGACACACGUCGUGCUGUGAGGAAAACCCGUUAUCGUGUAUGCUACCAUUCCUUAAAACUCGGGAGUUUGUAGAAGCGAUGAUUUGGAAGCCGUUGAUGUAGACUAGUAGAUGACGAUGACCGCAAUGUAUGUAGCAGAUCACUUCUCCCUAGAAGAAAACACCGGAGAGGGCAUGUAUAUCACCCUAGGUCCGGCGAGAUGGAUUCUAGAAACACAAAACUCUUACACGCUCCACCACAAGAGUGAAGUUUGUGAAUCUUUCUCUGUGAGAACUAGAGCGAGAGAAUCAAGACACAGUCCUGCCAUCUAAGACAAACAUGCAGAAGAAAAGCCCCAACCUCCCUCCGAUAACAUCUCCACUUUCUUGGCUUGCUACAACACGUCACCAUCACUAUUGGCCCGGUUCCAUCACCGUCAACAUCGUGGACCUUCGCCAAGAUGAUGCCCCCUUCUUCACCUCCUUCCUUUACCGUCGUCGGCACUCCUUCUUCGAUUUUUGUCCAUCUAUGCUCACCCCUCGACAUUUCGAGCACACCUACGUGUUCUUGGUGAGAAACUAGACCCCUGCACCCCUCGAUAGGCUCCUGCAUCAUUUGAUUUGGCAUGGGCCCAAGGCACCUCCGCCACGGCAUGGUCGUCGGCUGGUCUCUAGUGACCCUUUGCUCCCGCCCGUUGUGUCGCUGCACACGCACCGUCGCGUGGGUCGUUUUUGCCGAACUUGUUGAUUCGCCCUUCCCUCUGAUACAACCCCAAAAUCUGGUUUCUAAUCCCUACAAGACAUUGCAAUCUUGCGUCGUCUAGAAGCACAUUUCCAGCAUAUGAUUGUGACACCACGAGAGGGUUAUAUACCAGUAACAAGGUGAAAAUCACGACAAAUACAACUACGAACAUAAGAGUAAUACGAUAUAUGUUAGGCAUACAUAUGUCGAUAGAUAAAUAUUCCACCAAACAUAGGCAACAUGACCCAACAUUGCAUGAAUCAUACAAGCAAGAAGGCACGAGUCCGAGUACAUACAAGAAGGAAAUAUGCCUAAGGGGCCAAAGAAAUAAGCAACAUCCACCUUGCUAAUCCGAGGCUAGUGAUGUCUACUACGCAACAUUCUCCUUGUAGACGUUGUUGGGCCUCCAAGUGCAGAGGUUUGUAGGACAGUAGCAAUUUUCUCUCAAGUGGGUGACCUAAGGUUUAUCAAUCCGCGGGAGGCGUAGGAUGAAGAUGAUCUCUCUCAAGCACCCUGCAACCAAAUAACAAAGAGUCUCUUGUGUCCCAAACACACCCAAUACAAUGGUCAGUUGUAUAGGUGCACUAGUUCGGCGAAGAGAUGGUGAAAUAAGUGCAAUAUGGAUGGUAGAUAUAGGUUUUUGUAAUCUGAAAUUACAAAAACAACAAGGAAACAAAUGGUAAAAGUGAGCACGAACGGUAUUGCAAUGCGUGGAAACAAGGCCUAGGGUUCAUACUUUCACUAGUGAAGUUCUCUCAAAAAAGAUAACAUAAUUGGAUCAUAUAACUAGCCCUCAACAUGCAACAAAGAGUCACUCCAAAGUCACUAAUAGCGGAGAACAAACGAAGAAAUUAUUGUCGGAUACGAAACCACCAUAAAGUUAUUCUUUCUGAUCGAUCUAUUUAAGAGUUCGUACUAGAAUAACACCUUAAGAUACAUAUCAACCAAGACCCUAAUGUCACGUAGAUACUCCAUUGUCACCUCAAGUAUCCGUGGGCAUGAUUAUACGAUAUGCAUCACAGAAUCUCAGAAUCAUCUAUUCAACCAACACAUAGGACUUCAAAGAGUGCCCCGAAGUUUCUACCGGAGAGUCAAAACGUGUGCCAACCCCUAUGCAUAGGUUCUCAAUGUCACGAACCCGCAAGUUGAUCACCAAAACAUACAUCGAGUACUCACAUGAAUCCACGUGUGCCAACCCAUACAUAGGUUCCCAAUUGUCACAAACCCGCAAGUUGAUCACAGCAGAUAGACACGUGCAAGAUAUACAUCAAGUGUUCUCAAAGACUCAAUCCGAUAAGAUAACUUCAAAGGGGAAACUCAAUUCAUUACAAGAAGGGAGAGGGGGAAGAACAUCAUAAGAUCCAACUAUAGUAGCAAAGCCCACGGUACAUCGAGAUCAAGACAUCUCAAGAACACGAGAGAGAGAGAUCAAACACAUAGCUACUGGUACAUACCCUCAGCCCCGAGGGAGAACUACUCCCUCCUCGUCAUGGAGAUCGUCGGGAUGAUGAAGAUGGCCACCGGAGAUAGAUUCCCCCUCCGGCAGGGUGCCGGAACGGUCUCCAGAUUGGUUUUUGGUGGCUACACAGGCUUGCGGCGGCGGAACUUCCGAUCUAGGUUUCUUUCUGGAGGUUUCCGUAUUUAUAAGACUAGAUGGCGUCGAGAACAAGUCAGGGGGACCCACGAGGGAGUCACACGCCCUUGGGGCGCGGCCAGGGGGGUGGGGGCGCCCCCAGGCUUGUGGCUUCCUCGGGACUCUUCUCCGGUAUAUUUUUCUUCUGGUAUUUUUGAUAUUUUCCAGAAAAAAUCUUUUCGGGGAUUUUCUUCCUUUUGGACUCCGUUUCAAAAUCUCCUCUGAAAGGGGUCAAAAAUAUGGAAAAAGCAGGAACUGGCACUUGGCACUGAGUUAAUAAGUUAGUCCCUAAAAAUAUAUAAAAGGCAUGCAAAACAUCCAAAGUUUGACAAGAUAAUAGCAUGGAACCAUCAAAAAUUAUAGAUACGUUGAAGACGUAUCAACUAGCAAGUUGGAUGAUAUGCUAAUGAUCGUCAUCGAAGAGCAACGCCAAAUAUAGUGUAUCAUGCUCUCACCUUGGAGCAAUGCUUUACUUGUAAUUGCACUUGUGCGUGUUGUAGUAUCUGUGGGCCUUUAGGACUUCACAAGUCUCGUUACCAAGGGUAUCACACGAAAACUACUUAAUGGGUUGGGAUGGUUAAGUUGUGAUGUUGCAACAAGCACUAGUCCGAUGAGUACUAGAACAAGAUAAGAUAAGAUAAAUCCUACCCAUAAGGGGGUGGCAAUUAGAUAAUCAAUAAGUUACCCUAAACACUAUGUACAAAUUUUGCUUGCAUUCCCACAAGAAGUGAUUGUCGUGGUACACACACGGUUUGUAAGUUUUAGUUAUUAGUUGAAGUUCUCUACAACUGGAUAUUGUAAUUUUUGAAGUCAUGUGUAACCGUGGGCAUGGCUUUUCAAAAGAUUUAACCCUGUAUGGGUCCUACUAAUUCCUCCAUGGUAGAUUUCCGCGCGCAUACCCGUUCCUCCAAGUCCAUGGCCCAUGGGAACCCUCGUGCAAAGCAUGAUGUGUUUCAGGAAUUUUGGAGCAACAAAUCCUCGAUCUAAUGUAGAACUAGCAGCUAGAGAGGCCUCCCGAUGAGUCUUAUUGGGCUAUGAGCCGCACACACUGUAUCCUCAGACCCAUUCGUCUAUGCCAAGUGGAUAGUGAACCAAAACCUCGAGUUUUUCCAUGGUGGAACCUCACUUCUAGGUAGGGGCCAACGCUUUUUCGAGCACCCGCCUAAGUUAUUUCAAAAGUACCUUGAGGGGUGACCCUCUAUGCGACUUUUAUGUUGGAUAAUGUUAACAAAAAUGUUGCACCUCUCUGGAAAAGUUUAGUGCUAGAUAAAGAGGUCAAGGGGAGCCUCAUAAUCCCCACACAUAUUAUGAGCGCUCGUAGAAAACAUAAAACUAGGGUUACGAAACUAAGAGAACAACAGUGAAACAAAUCACCGGGGCAUAGGUAUGAGAUUUCCAUCCUUUACCAAGUGUAUAGUCAAGAUUAGUUAAAUAAGCAAGAUAUGAUAUCUCAGGAUGUCCAUAUCUCAACAUGGAACAACCUGCACCUACAAGUAGCAAAUCUAUAAAAGGAGCCGAGCAAGCGGUAGCAUGGCAAUCUAUGGUUUGCUAGGAUAGUGAAGGUUAUGGGCUAUAUCAUGGCAAAUGUUAGGCUUGCAAACAAGUGGUAGGUAGCGAGACCGGACAAUAGCAUCGUGACAUCUAGCAAGCAAAGUUAGUAAUCAUAUCCAAGAUAAUGAUCAUUCUUGUGUGAGAUUCCACUUUGAAGAUCGAAACCACAAAGUGUAGUCGAACAAAAUCCUUGUACUUCGUAUCGUUAUCGGGAGCUAACGAGAAGAAGAAGAACCGGAAAGAAGCAAACGGUAUGAUAAACAAACAUAUCAUGGCAUAAUGACAAUCAGCAUGAAUCAUGACAAGUUUAAUGAUUUUACAUGGCAACCUAUAACUAGAAAAGUUAAAGAAAGCCUUGAUCCAUGUGUGGUAUGAAUCAAAUGAAACUCCAUAUGCAUUUUCUUUUCUUUUUUGAGCAAGUUAAACUCCGAGAUCAUGUCCCUUUUGCAUUUUAGUCACUAUUAUUUGGUUAACUCGCAAGUUCUUGAUACUUGCGUAAAAUUUGACAAAUGAUAUAUAUAUGUUUUUCGACUAGAGUUUCGCAAGCUGGUCGUACCAUCAUUCACACGCCUCACAACGAUGUCAAGAAACACCAUUGCAACGUGGAGGGAGUGGGGAUGAUUUUAUGCCGACAGCGACACCAUCGCCUCACCUUGACGAGUGGAGACCAAAAUAAAAAUUUGAAAGCCCACCAUAGCAUCGCGUGUCUCACAAAGUGAGAGCAGACUCAUGAUCGCAAGGGAGGAGGCAGAUUGGCGCUAUUGUCCUGGCUCAUAGAAUUUCACCCGAAGUGGAGGGGGAGGAAAACGCUUCAUAGCGCGAGGUGGGAUUGAUGAGUAGCCAUAUACUCGCUCCAUUUCAUUAUAUAAGGCCACACACUCAGAUUACAGGUACCAAGGUAAAAUUCAAUGACUGCAUCGUGAGCCUACUUUUUGUUUUGUUAACCGAGAUCAUUAAUACAACACAUGGAUACAAAGAAAAAAAUGAGAAGAAAGUAGUUAAGUAUUUUUUUUUAACGAAGACAAAAGAUUACCUCAUCUAUUAGUUAAGCGGAAGAGAAUUGCCCUACAUGUAUGCGAACUUUAAACAAGUUGCUAAUAUGAGGAAAUAUUGUUAAUUUUUUCCUCGGUUACUCUUGAUGGUUUUAUGUAGAUGUAAAAUGGUUUCUUUUAUAAUGACCUUGUAUAAAGAAACAGAGGAAACAAUAUUUUUGAAACGAAAAUAUGCACGCCGUAUUUCAGAAUCGAGAAAGAAAACUGCAAAAGCAAAGCAUCUUCUAGCGACGAACGGCCUUGCUCGGAAGCGUGCACCCGACGCUGCGUGAUUCCCCCCCACAAAACAAGGUGGGAUUCCCAGUUCGGAUGCCCCCAUGCCUGCGGUCGCUCGCUCUUGUAGUCUUCCUCAGCUCCGGUACACGGCGCUUUGCUUUGCUUUGAUCAUGGCGGGAUGCUUCUUUUCCGUUCGGUGAUGUGUCGACUCGCGAAUCUCGAUCGAUCGACGUGCCCCCCACUUGCGUGGACCAAGCUAUCAUGGAGAUGGCAAGCGGAACCCGAAAGAAGUUCACAUGCCCAAGGCGACGGUCGAGCCAGGCCAUUCAUUUUUCUGACAGAAACCACCGCACGGGACAUGUUGUUAGCAAGCUCAAACUUCACGUAGAAUUCUCUGGCAGAAACAAUGGCGUUUGCACUGAUCAUGCAUAUAUCCCCGCGUACAAGGCUGCACCUGUUGUAUUUUUACUCCAACCGUGUGAUGUGAACCCAUAUUUGUUUUGCUAAAAAACAGUUGAUCGAGACUUCAGGAAGCCUCAAUCCAUACUAUAAUCCGUUGAUUUUACAUUAAGAUUCGUGUAGAUAAAUUUUUUUUCUUGCAUACUAUACUACUUUGAGACUUCACGAAGUUUCAUUUGACUGAGACCUAGACACACCUAUUUACAUUGAGAUUUAUUAACUGCUCAACUCCCUGGGGUUCUCGAAACAUGGAGGACGUGCAACGCAAAAGUGUCCACAUAGAUCAACGUUCGGCUGGCGCAGGUGAGGUAGGUGAACCUGCCGGUGCACUAUCAAGUUUACGAGGCAAGCUCUUGUCUUGGUGCGAGUAAAACGGGAGGCGAACUGGACGGACGGCCACUGCUCGCCUCGCUUGCGUGGCCAUGUGUGCGCUGCCCUGCUAUUGUUGGGAAACAGUACAGUACAGCUUGAUUUUGGGGUCAGGGAAGCGUACAACUCAUGUGAGGUUUAGCCUGUCGUGUCGAUCUUGUUUGUUUCGAGGGCUUUGGCUAUUUGCUAGUAGGAAGUAGUACGGGACUUGGUGAAGUGAACCAACCACUUCUUUGACCGAUUUUAAAGUGCUGCGUACUCUUGUAAUCUGUUGGCGGGGCUUGGCUGGUGUGAUGGAGCUCGCCUGCCAAUAUGUGCACAUCCACCCGUGGAAGGAUCAGUUGAGAACGUGUCCGUGUGUCCGCGUCACGACAGCGACAAGGCAUCGACGCCGUGGGCCGGCCAAGAUCAGUUUCUUGACGCCGACAGUAAAUAAAAAGUAAAUAAAACACGGUUUACGAUAACACGUACACUCUCUCUCGUGACCGGUGGAAGUAAGAGGAUAACUUCUUUCAAUGAACUGUUUCCAUGAACUGGUCAAACGGGACCGGCCCGGAAGCACGCCAGCUCGGCACGGUAUGGGUUAAUCAGACCGUCUCAGGCACGCAGCCCGUCUCGGGCCUGAGGGCUGGGUACGCGGGCCGGCACGGCAUGACCCGUUUAUCAUAUUUACUAUUUAUUCCCCCCCCCCAUAUAUAUACAUAAUAAAUAAAAUAACCUAAUAAAUCAAAAUCGGUUCAAAACACAGUUCAAUAUGUUGGUCCAAAAAACAGCCAAACAUGUCAAAAUCAGCCCAAAUAACAGCCUAAAAUAAAAAAGAAAACUAAUAGGCUAGCGGGUCUGGCGUGCCACGGACCGGUCCGUAUAGCCUCCUUGUCGUGCCUGGACCGGGAGGCUGCGCACGUGGGCGGCACAACACGGCCCAGCUAAUAUUCGUGCCCGGGCGGGCCAUGUCGUGCCAAACCCGUUUAUGGGGCCGUGCCGGGCCGGCCCGUUUGACCAGGACUGAAUUGGUCCUUUGGGCAACACACACAUGCGCGCGCGCGCGCACACACACACAAUGGUUCUUUUUUUUAAGAAAACUUGCCACUUUAUUUAUCGCAUUUAAAAUGUCAGGUACAUGAACGAAAUUGGGUGUGGCAAUAAAAAAAUGGUUCUUUGUUUUAUGCAUGGUGUUUGACACUAGUUGGGCAGGUUCCUAAGAUUGUCGAUGUCCAAAUUUAUAACUGCCCAGUUUGAUCCAGCAAAAUCUAUGACUUAUAAUUCUGAAAAAUAGACAAAAUUUACCCUAAGAAAAUACUCUUCGUUCCUAAAUAUAAGACCUUUUAAAAAUUUCGCUUUCAACUACAUUCGAUGUAAAAUGAGUGAAUCUAUACUCUAAAAUAUGUCUACAUACAUCCGUAUUUAGUUCAUAGUGAAAUAUCAAAAAUGUCUUAUAUUUUAAAACGAAGGGAGUAAUUGUUACAGAGUUUUUGUUGAAAACCCCUCACAUAUGUUAAUCAAUUAAAAUAUUCAUACAAUCAUCCAUUACAUCUUUCUCCACACAAGGCGGAUCAUACCUAUUCACAAAACUAAACUUGGCAAUCAAGUGUGCCAUCCUAUUGCCCUUUCUUUUAAUCUUGGACAUCUUGAACUCUGUCAACAUUUUAGAGACACCCAACGCUUCUUUCUUUAGAACAACAAAGGGAGACAUGUCACACAAAUAUCUUUUGGAGGCCUAGCUUCAUGGAGGCCUUCAAAUGCGAAAUUUAAAUUUCACGAAAAUUCAUAUUUUACAUGUUAUUUUUUAUAAAAAAAAUACAUAAAUAGAUGAAAGUAUAAUGCAUAAGUGUGUACAUUUUUAGGACUAAAUACGUUGAAAUGAGGGCUGUGCAAAAAAGACAAUUCUGAGACUUUUAAACAAAUGAUACUAUUCAUCAUUUUAGACCAUGGAAUUGUCUUUCUUUGUAUAGGUUGUGUUUCAAAGUAUUUCAACCUAGAAUUUUACACACAUGCGGCUCACAUCCUCGUUUAGUUAUACAAUUAUUUUUACAUUUUUUUGAAAUCAAUUUUUUCUAAUUUUGAAUUUUUGAAAAAUUCGGCCUCCAUGGAGGCCAAGAGCCAAAACGCCAUUCUCGACAUGUCAAGAUUAUCAUUUCCAAGCAAUAGAACCACAAAAGAACAACCAGUUUUCAAAAUGGUAGUUGUGCAGAGUGAUACCGAUAUAAAGAACAACGAGGAUCACUCUAAGUUUCACUUCAUCCGCACUAUUGCAAGCCUCAAUAUAAUCCGAGGAGAAAAUGAUAACUUCUGCAGUUUUGUUUCGGGAAACUCCCCCCCCCCCUUGUCGUGCUAAUGACCUUCAGAAAACUUGCAUCGACACUAAUCAGGAACUCCGAAGCGUGAGGCUGCCAAGAAAGAAAAAAUUCCUCUCCACAUUACUGGUGGAUUUCACUGCAUCUUUACAUUUGUUGCUGACCUUCACCUGCUUAUUGGUAUGAAACGACGAAAAAGACGCCCAAUAAUUUUGCAUAAAGCUCACAGAGGUAGAGACAACUUCCUUUCCCUUACCAUAGGUCAAAUCAUUUCUCAAAUGCCAUGAUCUUCAAAAGAUGAAUAUAAUUGACUCACACAAAUGCAACCCUAAUUGAUCCAUCAAAAUAAAUAACAAAUAUGAACCAUAAAAUUCAAAGAUCUCUUCACUCGGUAAAUUCCAAACCUCCUUCAAACUCCAUAAAAGUGCACAAGCCUUGGGACAUCUUAGCGAGCAUGAAAAACACAUUCAUCUUCAACACACCUGGAAAUUGAGCACAAGCCAUGAAUAGCUUGAUGAUGUUUUACUCUGUUAACUUGAUCCGCCAAACUAUUAGAAGUAGCAUACCAUGCAAAUAUUUUGAUUUUCCUAGAAACAUAAGCCUUACAAAUAAUAUUCGAGAGCCUUCUUUCCCAUUCAAAACAACAAUGGAGCUCCCUAACUACUUUAUUGUCCUUGAGAUUUAGUGCCAACCUAUACGUACUCUUUAUCAAGAAUAACCCUUUUUUCGUAGUGCCAAGCAAUAAAAUCUUCAUCUCCCAAAGUCAGAAUGAGCAACUUUAAAAUUUCCUCGACAUCAUGGGGGGUAAACAUAUGUAUGAUCGGAUUCUCACCACAUCUUCUUGAACCACUCAUGAAUAACUCAGACAUCCAUUUGAGCCUCUUCUUAGCAAACAAAAUUAGCCGGAGUCUCUAGGAAGCAAAUUAUCCCUCCAUAUGUGUAUACUAGCACCAUUGGAAACUCUCCAUAUAACACCCUUUUUCAACAGCUCGGGACCAUGCAUAAUAACUUGCGAAAUAACCGACACCUCUUGAGGGACGACAAUAUCAAUAAGAUAUCCAUGGGGUUAAUAUUUUUCUUUAAUCACCUUUGAACAUAAUCCAAAAAAAACCAAUAAUCAUCAAGCUUGUUUCACCAGAAGCACAUGAUUACAUAGUCUAAUAUCUCGAAACCCUAUAGCUCCCGCACCUUUGGGUCUUGCCAUCUUGUCGUACGCAAGCCAAUAAGUUUUUCUCCUAUUCUCCUCAUCACCCAUCAAUUUUUUUGAUGAUCUAGGAUAAUUAUUCACAAAUCCAUGCAUAACAUUUAAAGAUGCCCAUGGCAUAGGCCGGUAGCGCCUGAAUGACCGACUUAAUCUGGAUUUCCUUCAUCCCACUAGAAGCAUAUUAUUCAAUCUAGUCCAAAAACUACUUUAGCGCUUUAUCUUUGGUAGACUAAAAUUGCCGCCUUCAUUCUACUUGCUCGCACAGGUAAACCAAGAUAUCCUCUCAAAUCCAUCAACCAUGAUUUGAAUUACAACCAAAAUGGGCACUGAUCUUUUAGACAACACAUUUUGCCAAAUAAAAUGGAGCAUUUAUCUCGGUCCAAUAGUUGACCUUUCCCCUCCUCAUAAACCUAAAAAUUCUUCUAAUGGUCAGGGCUUGCUACAAAGAACCCUUGAAAAUAGGAGACUAUCAUAAAAAAACUGUGAGAAUGUCUGUGCAGCCGAAACUCCUAGAUAAUCCCUCUCACAUACGCAUCAUUAAGUAACAAUGGAAGGGCUUCAACCACAAAAGGAACAAGUAUGGAGAUAAAAUGAUUACUUUGCGAGUGACGAUGCAAAAGUUGAAAGAUUCUAACAGAUAGCCAUUAAAACACGCUAAAAAUUUCACUAAAACAACAUAAAUCAUAAUUCACUUAACCCAAACUAGAGCAAAACCAUAUGCUCUCACCAUACUUUCCAAGAAAUUCUAGUCCACACGGUCAUAUGCUUAGAGAGUUUCAACUUGCAUGCAGACUAUUUGUGUCGAAAAUCUUUCAAAAACCUCUAUGAUUGCAUACAUCCAAAGCAAUAAUAGCACUAUCUGAAAUUAAUCUUUCAAGAAUGAUAACACUUUGGGUAGGAAAAAUCAUACCAUCCAACAAAGGGCUCAGUCUAUUAACAAGACACUUGAAUAUAAUUAUAUAUAUGACAUCACAUAAAGUGAUUGGUAAAAAAUCUUUUUCGACCCAGGGUUCUCCACUUUAGGAAUAAGCACAAUAGUUGUAUUAUUUAUCCCUUCCAGCGUGCUUCCAGAAAUAAAGAACAAUUGAACAACAUGAAAAAUAUCUCCCUUGAGUAAACCCUAAUUCCUUUGAAAAAAAACAGCUAGAAAUCCAUCUGGCCUUGAAGCCUUCAACGAACCUAUUUGGAAGAGAGCAUCACUAAUCCCUUGUUGAGAAAAUGAUUUGCAAAGGUCCUCAUUCAUGGUAUGUGACUCUAUGGUAAACACAUCUCAUAUUAUUCCACGUGUGUAACCUUUGGUAAAUGAUUACAGAGAUUUUUGUGUAUGGGAUGGCGAGGUCGCGGUGAGGCGCUGAGCUGCUGCGGGGUUUGGCGGCGACAACAGGCGUGCAGGCGGCGACAGUGUCGUCAUAGGGCGACGCAGUGUGGGCUAGAGCUCGUCUGUGGUGUGGCGGUUGCGCGAGGGGGGGGGGCUCGUCCUCACGCGGAUGCGUGCAUGCUGGUUCCCGGCCAGAUCAGGCUCUAGGUAGCUCGCGGGAGGUGCGGGGUUGGCAGCGACUCAUUCGAUGGUGUCGCGACAUGAGCGGAUGGCGGCGACGUCUCUGUCUAUGUGGCAUUUGCGGGUGUUGGGCCUUGGGUGGAUGCGAGCACAGUUGGGUGGCCGGUCCUAACGACCUGACACGCGACACGGGAGACGGGUGGCGCACUGAUGGUUGCGUUGGUGGCCAGCCAGGUGUGGUACAUGGGAGGCAGGCCAGGACAUCGCCCCUGCGCCGAAUCUGGCAUGGUUUCGGGUGUAUGUGGGGGGACUUGAAGUGCCUUCGACUGGAGGUUGCUCGGUGUGGCUGUUGUGAUGGUCGGAGAGCGUGAUGGUGGUUCCUGGGAACGCGCAAGGAUGGUUGGUUGCACGUUGCUCUAGCCGUUUAUUCCCCUGGCUGCGGGUGUGUGGAAGUGGGUCACACGACUUCUUGGCGGAGCUAGACUGGGGCUGGAGGUGGUGGCUAGCUGGAGGUGGAUUGCGUGAGUGGCCUUUGGAGGCGGCCCCGACGACAAGAGUUGUCGGCUACCUACGACAUCCCUGUCUCGAUGUGAACGAUCAGAUCUGAUGGGGCAGUCUUCGCCCUCCUCGAUGGUGUUCUCCCAAAGUUGGUUGAGAGCGCCAUUGUCCCUUGGCCAUAUCUCACGAUGUCGAGUGGGGACCCAAGGUUGUUGGGGUGGCGUCUGAAAGUGCAUCAUUGCCCUGAAUUAUUUUUGACAUCUAUGACAAUUUCAUUUGUAUUUCUAAACACAUGCUCUAGUGUAAACAUCUCCGACAAAAGUAAAGAGAAGCAUGGAUAUGGUUAUUUCCCCUCUACUCGGAAAAAGGAAAAGUCAGAGUUCCAUGAAAGUUUUUCUUUCUUUCUUGAGUCCUUAGGGCAACUGCACUAUUAAGAGGGGAUGCAUCGUGAAAAUUAUCUAGGAAUCAACUCUUCAUAAAAACAAGUUCUCGAAAACCAAUUCUAAGAUCUGUCAAAAUUGACACUGCAAAGCCUCUGUCUUAGGUCAGAACUUCCGGGGCGGACGGAACUUCCCGGGACCAUAAGGCCCGAGGAGCUUCCGGGCCAACCAGAGAAACUGCCAGCCUCUGUGCAAUGUUUCUGUUUAGGCUGGAACCUUGCCAGACCCUGGCCGAAACUUCGAGGGAGGCCGGAACUUCUGUCCCGAUCCUGUCUGCUUUCGAGGGACUCCAACCGGGUGCAAUCAUUCUAUUCAAACCGGUACCUUCGCGGAGCCUGGUCGUAACUUCCGGGGUGCGGAACCUCCGGUCCCCCCGGAACUUCCGGGGUUGGCAGAAAUGUGGCCCCCAACGGCUGGAUUUCUUCCCCACCUAUAAAUAGCCUUCUCCUUCCCGAGGCACCGUAAAAACUCCAUUUUUCUCACUCCACCAUUUUCAAACCUCUAUUUCUUAGAGUUCCCCCUCCUUAGCCAACCAAAGCUCUUGAUGUUUUGAGGAGUGAAGGAGGAGUUCCUGAUCUACACAUUCACCAAAGAAAAAGUUGAUCCCCCUUGUUUUCAGGAUGCAUCUUGUAACUCUUGGAGGUUGGAGACUCUUAGGCGGUAGGAGUACUCCGACGAGGAAUCGUUCAUUGUGAUUACCCCCAAAAAGUUUGUGAGGGUUUGGAGACCACCCCAAGGUCUACCACUAGUGGUUGAGAAUCGCCUUCGUGGUGUUGUAUCAAAGAGAUAAUAGGGUGGGCCUUCCUAGCGUUGGUGUGCCUUUGUGGUAACAUCCACAUUUCUAAACGGUGACAUAGCUUCCCUCCAAUAAAUUGAACAUCGGUAUACAUCCUCGUCUCUAGGAGUUGUGGUUAUCUCUAACCCUAAUCCUCUACUUGUGGUUAUUUUUCUUUGUGAUAUUUCUUAUAUUACUUGUAUUACAUGUGCUUAACUCUUUAAUUAAUUGUUGUAUUGCUUAGUACGCGUAGCACGACUACCAUCUUUGCAAUUGUUAGGCUCACCUUCAUAUUCUGCAUUACUGCCUAAAAUUGCUAAGAAACAAUUAAAAAUUGUAAUCGUACCUAUUCACCCCCUCUAGGACCAUCUCGAUCCUUUCAAUUGGUAUCAGAGCCUCGUGCUCUAAUUUAGUGGCUUAACCGUCCUAGAUCGAGAUGGAUAAGGUUGGGAACCCGUUGCGUGCUCCUCCUCUUGAAGGAGAAGCUUCAUCCAUAUAUGAAGGGAGAUAUUUCACUUCUUAAGAUCUCGAACGGAUCCUCGCUAAGAAGAACGAGGAGCAUGAUGCUUCUAUUGAGGCUUUGGUAAAAGUGAGGUUGGAAGCAUUUGGUGCGAAAAUUACAUCACCGGAGAACCCAAUUCGUGUGUUAAAAUAAUCAAUUGCAUCCAUUCCUAAUUCGGGGCAACAACCUCCACCUCACAACAAUAUCGGUGUUCCUUGGCUAUAUGCUGAACCUAGAGUGGAGAAACCUAAGUAUAAUAUUUUGGGAAAUCCUCCUUUACUUGAUGACACUGCCGAUUUUUCUUUGUGGAGAGUUGGUAUGCAGGAUCAUCUUAGGUUUGCCAACGAUGAAAUGCCGGAGAUCUUGGAGAAAGGUUACAACCCUCUGAACCCCAAGGAUCUCACACCGAGUGAAGUAUAUGACAGACACCUCAAUGGCACCACGAUCAUGCUCAUAAGAAAAGGCAUGCGUGACAAGCAGAAAAGGCCUUACAUUCACGUAUCAAAUGCAAAAGAACUUUGGGAUAGCAUUAUGAUGACAAAGACGGGAACAUCCUCUCUUCGUCUUGCACAAUAUGAGAUAGCAAAAGGAGCAUUGCAAUACUUCUGCAUGUAGAAAGGAGAGACCCCAAGCAUCUUCUUGAAAGAUCGAUGACACUUGCUGUCGACAUAGAAUCAUAUGACUGUGACAAGAGUCGAGAUGGAUUCAAUCUGACGAAACGGUUUCUUGUGGAUAAAAUUCUAAAUGCUCUUGCCCCGUACCACCAUCAAAUGGUAUGGGACAUAAGGAGAGAACAUGGUUUUAAGGACAUAUCUCUUGAUGAUGUCAUCUCUGCCUUCCAACUAUUCCAAGAAUCAAAGGCCAAUGCUACAAGGCAUCUUGCCAUGCAUGGCUCCUCAUCACCCAAGACAAAUCUUGCGUUGAAGGCCAAACACGUGAAGGAUGACGAUGAUGUCAGUGAAGAAGAAGAGGAACAUGAAGAGGAAGGCUAUGAAGAUGAAUCAAAUGACGAGCUCUCAUAUGAAGACAUGGAUCUUUGUCAAGAAGUUUAGUGCUGGAAAAUUCAAGGGAAUAUUCCAAAAGAAGAAAGUAAGGACUUGUUACAAUUGUGAAUAAACCAACCACUUCUCAAACAAGUGUCCUUAUGAUAAGAGAGAAGACAAACCAAGAUUUCUGAAGACCUUUGUGAAGAAGAAGUUGCCUAACCCAUUAAAAUCCAAGUUCAGAAAAAGAGAUGGGAAGGCAAUGGUUUCUCAAGAUGAAUCCGGCCCCGAUGAUGUUGGGGGUGUUGUAGCAUAGCACAAGACACUCAAACCACAUUAAUACUGUUCAACAAAAGUUGUGAUGUUGUCACAUACAACUACAUGAAAGACUACAAAGGUAAUGCACACAAAUGCCUCAUGGCUCAAGAUGUGAUGGAAGAUGAUGAGGGACAGACAUCUUGAGACAAGGUGAAGGUAACUCCACGACCUAACCCUUCUCUAUUUUCCUCCAACACAUCUAGUGAUGAAUAUGUUGAUGCUCAGGAUCGUGAUCAUGAGACUGAAAUUAGUGAUGCUAUGUUUGCUAAAAUGAAGAAAGUCAUGUGCUCCCUCAAAGGAAAGAAGAUCAUUACGUUUCGUAUGCUUAUGGAGAUGGUGAGUAAGGACGCCACUUCCAUUAAGAACACAAAAACCUCGUUACCGAGGAAAAGGACAAAUGCGAAAUCCUUGAGCAGAAAGUCCUAUAUGAGGAAGCACAUAAUGACAAAUUGUGCUUAAAAAUAGGUGCAAACAUUGAUAAGAACACUGAAGAACUUGCCUCUUUAACAAAGACUGGAAAUGAUUAUGAAGUGUUAAAAAGAGACAAACGUAAGUUUGACGAGUCUCACUCCGCUCUUUCUAAAGAUUGUGAGCUCUUACAUUUGUCUCUCAAGACAAAGGAGGUAGAUCUCAACACUCUUACAAAGAAGUUUGACAAACUCAAGCUUACAUAUCUUAACAUUCUAGGCAAAGUUUACUCCUCUCCUGUUGUAAAUGUUGAUGCUUGUGCUACUAAUCCCAGUGGUGACCUAGCUAGUGUUCUUGAGGAGAACCGGUUGCUAAAAGCUCAAGUUGAAAAAGGGCUCAUGUCAUGUGCCCAAGGACAAAAGAACCUCAAUGAAGUGUUGAGUCAACACAAGGAGGUUGUGGCGAAAGAAGGGCUUGCAUUUUAUCCAAGCCGGAACAGGAAUGCAAUAACGAUACAUAAGUCCACUGCUCCUCUCGAGGAGAUAUUUGUUCGGAAAGGGCACAAGGAAGACAGAUUGGGAGACGUUGAGAAGGUUGCGAGUAGGAAGGCCACUAGGGGCCAGCCUGCUCCCAACAAGCCAAAAGAAUGCAUGCCUCCAUCAUAUGUGCUCCGUAAGGCAAAAGAUGGAGCUGUGUAUGCUAAAUUUUUUGCCCUCGAAAUGCUUUUCGAUUCUAUGCAAUUUGGGUGCCUAAGACCCUUGUUACUAACAUGAGGGGUCUGAUGUCUACUACACUACCUUCUCCUUGUAGACGUUGUUGGGCCUCCAAGUGCAGAGGCUUGUAGGACAGUAGCAAUUUUCCCUCAAGUGGGUGACCUAAGGUUUAUCAAUCCGCGGGAGGCGUAGGAUGAAGAUAGUCUCUCUCAAGCAACCCUGCAACCAAAUAACAAAGAGUCUCUUGUGUCCCCAACACACCUAAUACAAUGGUAAGUUGCAUAGGUGCACUAGUUCGGCGAAGAGAUGGUGAUACAAGUGCAAUAUGGAUGGUAGAUAUAGGUUUUUGUAAUCUGAAAUUACAAAAACAGGAAGGUAACUAGUAAAAAAAGUGAGCACGAACGGUAUUGCAAUGCGUGGAAACAAGGCCUAGGGUCCAUACUUUCACUAGUGAAGUUUUCUCAACAAUAAUAACAUAAUUGGAUCAUAUAAAUAGCCCUCAACAUGCAACAAAGAGUCACUCCAAAGUCACUAAUAGCGGAGAACAAACGAAGAGAUUAUUGUCUGGUACGAAACCACCACAAAGUUAUUCUUUCUGAUCGAUCUAUUCAAGAGUCCGUAGUAAAAUAACACGAAGCUAUUCUUUCCGUUCGAUCCAUCAUAGAGUUCGUACUAGAAUAACACCUUAAGAUACAUAUCAACCAAGACCCUAAUGUCACCUAGAUACUCCAUUAUCACCUGAAGUAUCUGUGGGCAUGAUUAUACAUAUGCAUCACAUCAUCUCAGAAUCAUCUAUUCAACCAACACAUAGAACUUCAAAGAGUGCCCCAAAGUUUCUACCGGGGAGUCAAAACGUGUGCCAACCCCUAUGCAUAGGUUCCCAAUGUCACGAACCCGCAAGUUGAUCAACAAAACAUACAUCAAGUACUCACAUGAAUCAAACGUGUGCCAACCCAUAUGCAUAGGUUCCAAAUGUCACAAACCCGCAAGUUGAUCACAUCAGAUAGACACGUGAAAGACAUACAUCAAGUGUUCUCAAAGACUCAAUCCGAUAAGAUAACUCCAAAGGGGAAACUCAAUUCAUUACAAGAGGGAGAGGGGGAAGAACAUCAUAAGAUCCAACUAUAGUAGCAAAGCCCAUGGUACAUCGAGAUCAAGAUAUCCCAAGAACACGAGAGAGAGAGAGAGAUCAAACACAUAGCUACUGGUACAUACCCUCAACCCUGAGGGAGAACUACUCCCUCCUCUUCAUGGAGAUUGUCGGGAUGAUGAAGAUGGCCACCGGAGAUUGAUCCCCCCUCUGGCAGGGUGCCGGAACGGGCUCCAGAUUGGUUUUUGGUGGCUACGGAGGCUUGCAGCGGCGGAACUCCCGAUCUAGGUUUCUUUUUGUGGGUUUCUGAAUUUACAGGAAUUUAUGGCGGUGGAAUUAUGUCGGUUGGGCCCACGAGGAGGUCACAAGCCUGGUUGCCACAACCUAGGGGGUGGUGGCGGCGUCAGGGCUUGUGACUCCCUCGUGGCUCUUCUGGCCUUCUUUCAAAGCUUCGGGGGUCUCUUUUGGUCCAAAAAAAUCAUCGUAAAGUUUCAUUCCAUUUGGACUCCGUCUAAAAAUGGGCCAAAAACACGAAAAAAACAGAAACUGGCACUUGGCACUGAGUUAAUAGGUUAGUCCCAAAAAAUAUAUAAAAUAGCAUAUUCAUGCAUAUAAACAAUCCAAAGUUGACAAGAUAAUAGCAUGGAACCAUAAAAAAUUAUAGAUACGUUGGAGACGUAUCAAGCAUCCCCAAGCUUAACUCCUGCUCGUCCUCAAGUAGGGAAGUGAUAAAGAAUGAAUUUUUGAUGCUUUCAUGCUACCUAGCAUAGAUGUCCUUUGUAACUCCUCUUAUGUGACAUGAAUGUUCAGAUCCGUUAGAUUCAAAACAAUAGUUUGCUAUUGACGUGGAAACAAUAAUUAUUGAAGCAAACUAGCAAGGUAAUCAUGAACUUUCGAAAUAACAAGGCCAAAAGAAAGUUAUCCCUACAAAAGCAUAUAGUCUGGCUAUGCUCUAUCAUCAUUGCACAACGAAUUUAAAUCUUGCACAACCCCGUUAUUGGCCAAGUAAUUGUUUCACGCCUUUACUUUCUCAAACCUUUUCAACUCUCACGCAAUACAUGAGCGUGAGCCAUGGUUUUAGCACUAUAGAUGGUGUGGAGUGUGGUGGAGGUUGCAAGACAAAAAAGGAGAAGAUAAUCACAUUAACUAGGCAUAGCAAUGAGCUGUGGAAAUGCUCAUCAAUAGAUAUCAAUGUAAAUGAGUAGGGAUUGCCAUACAAAUGAUGCACUAGAGCUAAGAGUAUGUGAAAGCUCUUUAAAGAAAACUAGUGGGUGUGCAUCCAACUUGCUUGCUCACGAAGACCUAAGGCAAUUUUGAGGAAGCCUAUCAUUGGAAUAUACAAGCCAAGUUAUAUAAUGAAAAUUUCCCACUAGCUAUAUGGUGGUGACAAAACGAGAUACUCUCAAUCAUGAAGAUCAUGGUGCUUAAUAUCCACAAGUGUGGAAAAGUGGUAGCAUUGUCCCUUCUCUCUUUUUCUCUCAUAUAUAUUUUUUGGUGGGCUCUUUGGCCUCUUUAUUAUUAUUCCCCCCCCUUUAUUUUGGUGGGCAUCUUUGGCCUAUUUUAUUUCCUCACAUGGGACAAUGCUCCAUCAAUGAUGAUCAUCACACUUUCAACACAAAACUUAGAGCAACGAUGACUCCAUAUGGAAUGCCUUCGGUAGUGUACCGUGACAAUGAUCUAGCAUGGCAUAGACAUUAAAUGAAACAUCAUGCUAGCUAUCUUAAGAUCAUGCAAUGGAAAUUUAGAUGUGGUGGCACAUGUCAUGGUGGUAUUUGCAUGGAAAUAUAUCUUGGAAUGACUUUGAAAAAUCCAUAGUAGGUAGGUAUGGUGGCUGUUUUGAGGGAGGCUAAUGGUGGGUUUUGUGCACCGGCGAAAGUUGCACGACACUAAGAAGAUAGUGAUGGUGGUAAGUGAAAGUGCAUCUAAACCAUGGACUCAACAUUAAUCAUGAAGAACUCAUAUACUUGUUGCAAAAGUUUUAUUAGUAAUCGAAACAAAGCAUACAACGCAUACUCCUAGGGGAAGGGUUGGUAGGUAUAAACCAUCGCGCGAUCCCAACCGCCACGCAAAGGAUGACAAUCAAUAUACUAAUCAUGCUCAGAUUUCAUCACAUAGCGGUUCACCAUACGUGCAUGCUACGGGAAUCACUAACUUCAACACAAGUAUUUCUAGAUCCACAACACCUUACUAGCAUGACUUUAAUAUUACCAUAACCACAACUCAAAACUAAUUGAGAUGAAUCAAACUCCUCUAACUAUUCAAUGCACAUGAAGGUGGAAGUUUUCGUAUCCCUUUUUAUAACUACCCAUUUUGAGGCUACUUUCAAAGCAUAGAUCAACUACCAAGCCACGCACCGCUGCGCUCUAAAAGAUAUAAGCGAAGUACAUAGAGCAAAAGUAUCUAGCUCAAAAGAUAUAAGUGAAGCACAUGUGAGUUGAAUUGUCUACCACAAGAUAUAAGUGAAGCUCGACAAAAUCAUGGUGUGUGCAUGUCUCUCUCUCUAGGUGUGCAGCAAGGAUGAUUGUGACACAACAAAAAUCAAAGACUCCUACGAUACAAGAUGCUCCAAGCAAAAACACAUAACAUGUGGCGAAUAAAAAUAUAGCACCAAGUAAUGUUAUCGACGGAUUGAAGACGAGAGAGGGGAUGCCUUCCCGGGGCAUCCCCAAGAUUAGGCUUUUUCGGCAUCCUUGAAUCAAAUUGGGGUGCCUUGGGCAUCCCCAAGCUUGAGCUCUUGCCAAUCUUUAUCUCUUUGUCCAUAAGAACUUCACCCAGAACUUGAAAACUUCACAACACAAAACUUAAACAGAAACUCGUGAUAUCAUUAGUAUAAGAAAGAAAAUCACCACUUCCUUAGGUACUGUAGCAAACUUAAAUUCUACUUAUGUUGGUGUUGGGUUGCUAUAUUUUCACUUUUCCAUGGCUAGUACCCUCCGAUACUAUCCAUAAUUUCAUCAAAAUAAGCAACCAACUCAACAAAAAAACAGAAUCUGUUAACAACAGACCAGUCUGUAGCAAUAUGUAUACUUCGUAUACUUCUGGUACGUCAAAAACUCUGAAAAAUUACUACAGUCUGAAGAAAUUGCAUAGAAAUCAGCAGCAAAAAGAAUCAACUCAAAAUCUCUUACAGAAUAAAAAUGAAAAUUCUUUUCGUGAGCAGAAAGUUUCUGUCUUUUUCCAGCAUGAUCAAACAAUCAUCACCAAGACUAAUCAUAACGGUUUUGCUUGGCACAAACACAAAAAGAAACACAAAAUACACAAUCAUAACAGAAUUAUGAUGGUGUGGAGAAAACAAAACAGGAACCAAAAAGCAAAGAAAAAUUUAUUCAUUGGGUUGCCUCCCAACAAGCGCUAUCGUUUAACGCCCUUAGCUAGGCAUUGAUUUCAAUGAUGCUCACAUAAAAGGUAAGGAUUGAAACACAACGAGAGCAUCAUGGAGCAAAUGGCUAGCACAUUUAAGUCUAACCCACUUCCUGGAUUUUGUGAUCAAACAAUUUAUUGGAGCAAUAAUCAACUAGCAUAGGAAGGCAAAACAAGCAUAGCUUCAAACAUUUCAACAUAUGGAGAGGAAGCUUGAUACUAUUGCAAUAAGUAGAAGCAUAUGAUCCUCUCUCAUAGUAAUUUUUAGUAACAUCAUGAAUGAAUUCAACAAUAUAACCAGCACCUAAAGCAUUCUUUUCAUGAUCUACAAGCAUAGAAAUUUUACUACUCUCCACAUAAGGAAAUCUUUUCUCAAGAAUAGUAGUGGGAUUAUCGUAAAAGACUUGAGCACUACAAAUUGUGUCCACUAUGAAAAAGCAAGGUUUAGCAAAGGGGUUUUAGAAAGUAUGACAAGUUUUAUCAUCCCUCUUCUUCAAAGCAUAAGUAUUCUCACAAUAAUCAUCAAAGAUAGGGGGCAUUCUUUCAUCAAAAUAAUUUUGAUCAUUCAAAGUGGAAGAACUAAAAAUAUCAUCUUCAUCAAAUAUAGCAUCCCCAAGCUCGUGGCUUUGCAUAUCAUUAGCAUCAUGGGUAUUCAAAGAAUUCAUGCUAAAAACAUUGCAAUCAUGCUCAUCCUUCACAUAUUCUAUGCCAAGCAUUCUAUGUAAUUCUUCUUUCAGCACUUGAGCACUAUUUUCCUUCCCAUAAUGCUCACGAAAGACAUUGAAAAGAUGGAGCAUAUGAGGCAUCCUCAAUUCCAUUUUUUUGUAGUUUUCUAGCUAAAGAACAAGAAACAAAAAGAUUCGAUUGCAAGAUCUAAAGAUAUACCUUCAAGCGCUAACCUCCCUGGCAACGGCGCCAGAAAAGAGCUUGAUGUCUACUACGCAACCUUCUCCUUGUAGACGUUCUUGGGCCUCCAAGUGUAGAGGGUUGUAGGACAGUAGCAAUUUUCCCUCAAGUGGGUGACCUAAGGUUUAUAAAUCCAUGGGAGGCGUAGGAUGAAGAUGAUCUCUCUCAAGCAACCCUGCAACCAAAUAACAAAGAGUCUCUUGUGUCCCCAACACACCUAAUACAAUGGUAAGUUGUAUAGGUGCACUAGUUCGGCGAAGAGAUGGUGAUACAAGUGCAAUAUGGAUGGUGGAUAUAGGUUUUUGUAAUCUGAAGUUACAAAAACAGCAAGGUAACUAGUAACAAAAGUGAGCACGAACGGUAUUGCAAUGUGUGGAAACAAGGCCUAGGGUUCAUACUUUCACUAGUGAAGUUCUCUUAACAAUGAUAACAUAAUUGGAUCAUAUAACUAGCCCUCAACAUGCAACAAAGAGUCACUCCAAAGUCACUAAUAGCGGAGACCAAACGAAGAGAUUAUUGUCGGGUAUGAAACCACCACAAAGUUAUUCUUUCUUAUCGAUAUAUUUAAGAGUCUGUAGUAAAAUAACACGAAGCUAUUCUUUCCGUUCGAUCCAUCAUAGAGUUCGUACUAGAAUAACACCUUAAGAUACAUAUCAACCAAGACCCUAAUGUCACCUAGAUACUCCAUUGUCACCUCAAGUAUCCGUGGGCAUGAUUAUACGAUAUGCAUCACAUAAUCUCACAAUCAUCUAUUCAACCAACACAUAGAACUUCAAAGAGUGCCCCAAAGUUUCUACCAGAGAGUCAAAACGUGUGCCAACCCCUAUGCAUAGGUUCCCAAUGUCACAAACCCGCAAGUUGAUCACCAAAACAUACAUCGAGUACUCAGAUGAAUCAAACGUGUGCCAACCCANNNNNNNNNNNNNNNNNNNNNNNNNNNNNNNNNNNNNNNNNNNNNNNNNNNNNNNNNNNNNNNNNNNNNNNNNNNNNNNNNNNNNNNNNNNNNNNNNNNNCAAAGAAGAUUACAUCGGAUAGAUCUCCAUGAAGAUCAUGGAGAACUUUGUAUUGAAGAUCCAAGAGAGAGAAUAAGCCAUCUAGCUAAUAACUACGGACCCAUAGGUCUGAAGUGAACUACUCACGAGUCAUUGGAGGGGCGAUGAUGAUGAUGAAGAAGCCCUCCGACUCCAAAGUCCCCUCUGGCAGGGCGCCGGGAAGGGUCUCCAGAUGAGAUCUCGCGGAAACGGAAGCUUGCGGUAGCGGAAAAGUAUUUUCGAGGCUCCCCUGAUUUUUUGCGGAAUAUUUGGGAAUUUAUAGGCCAAAGAUCUAGGUCAGGGGGCGGCCAGGGAGGCCACAAGCCUGCCCACCGCCGCCUCCCCCCUGGUGGCGGAGUGGGGGCUUGUGGGCUCCCUGGAGCCCACCUGGCUUGGCCCAAAAGCCCCCGGGACUUCUUCCGUUCGGGAAAAAAUCAUUUUGGGUUUUUUCUUCCGUUUGGACUCCGUUCCAAAAUCAGAUCUGAAAAAAGUCAAAAACACGGAAAAAACAGGAACUGGCACUUGGCACUGAAUUAAUAAGUUAGUCCCAAAAAGAUAUAAAAAGGUACGUAAAACAUACAAAGAAGGCAAGAUAACAGAGUGAAACCAUCAAAAAUUAUAGAUACGUUUGAGACGUAUCAAUGACUUCAACAAACAAACAAGCACACAAGCAAGCAAGAAAACCGGCAAAGGAAAAUGGCAAAGGGCAAAAGAAAGCGGCAAAGGAAAACGACAAAAAGGCAAAAGAAAAAGGCAACGGAGAAAGGCAAAUGAAAAUGGCAAAUGUGAAGUGGGGGAGAGGAAAACGAGAGGCAACUGGCAAAAAAAGUAAAUGCAAGAGAUGAGUUUGUGAGACCUACUUGGAUAGAUCUCUCCUUCCCCGGCAACGGCGCCAGAAAUACUUCUGCUACUGCAACAAAAGACCUUCCAACGGCCCCAGAAACAAGCGUGCUGACGGAAGACUAUUCUUGUCUUGAUACUCCUCAGCAACGGCACCAGGAAUCCUUUUGCUACGGCUACGCCUUUAGGGACUUCCUUGGCAAAUAUGCAAAGGAUUCCCCCGUGGCCUUGGAGCCUUGCGUUGGUGUUCCCUCGAAGCGGAAAGGGUGAUAUNNNNNNNNNNNNNNNNNNNNNNNNNNNNNNNNNNNNNNNNNNNNNNNNNNNNNNNNNNNNNNNNNNNNNNNNNNNNNNNNNNNNNNNNNNNNNNNNNNNNACCCGUACCCGUAGCCGCCACCGUCGGCGCCCCAGGGCAGGAUCUUCCAGCUCUGGUUCUCGCCCUUGCAGAACUCCCAGAGGACGACGGCGGUGCCGUCGUGCACCCCGCCGUGGGGCUUGUCGCCGUGGAGGGCGUCGAAGCUGAGGCUGAGGUUGUUGACCAUGCGGAUGCAGCGGAAGCCCUUGCCGACGUCGUUGCUCUCCGUCCACAGCACCGACUCGUCCUCGAACGCCGGGUUGUAGGGGAUGAGCUUGACGGGGUGGGACUGGCCGAGCGAGUGCUUCACGGCCAGCCCCGUGGCCUUGUUCACCAGCGCGAACGCCGGGUGCCCCUCCGCGUCGCUCACCCUC